Neofelis nebulosa (Clouded leopard) is the source of this 1538-nucleotide long non-coding RNA. RefSeq lists it as uncharacterized. The record is from RefSeq and is a predicted model, not a curated record. The transcript is spliced from 3 exons. NCBI's taxonomy places the organism in Eukaryota, Metazoa, Chordata, Mammalia, Carnivora, Felidae.
UCAGCACACCACACUUUGGCAGGAGGCGAGGGGGCUUCUCUCCACAUGCAUUUUUGGGAGCAAUGUCCCCGUAGACUUGUGUUCUUUUAUUCAUUGACUCACACAUUCAUAUCCGGAUGGGCUUUUGCUGAUGCCUCACUAAGCGCAAGCCCCGUGCUGGGCCCUGGACAAGACGCCACCAGCCCUCGGGCAGCUGACCCGGCCAGGGAGAAGCCGGCCCCACAGCCACCUGACUGUUCCACUGAACGUGGGGACAGGAGCUCUGGGAGUGCAGAGAGGGGCAGGUCGGUUGUCCUGGGGGUUCAGAGAAAGUCAGUCCGCUGAGUUCUGAAGAGCAAAUAGAAGUUUGGAGGGUAAAGGAGAAGGCAAGGACAUCCAGAGGAGAGCCUGAGAGCCUGGAUGGGACGUCCCCGUGGCUGCAGCACCCGCUGUCCCUCCUAAGUGGCCUCCAGUCGCCACAGACAGAGUUGUUAAGUGUUGGGUAUCUGGGGCAGACAGAGCCUACAAGGUCCUGAGGAGACACGUCAGAGAGACCCCAAAGGGAGUUCUUAAAGCCAUUUCCGGGGAUGGAUUGAGGAGGAAAGGGAGACACAGGGGGCUUGGAAAAGCCCGAGCCAUGAAGUCAAAAGGUGGGUGCAUGUGGACAGGGGAGGGAGGGGGGAAACGCACUUCUGGACGGAUUGCGGGAGGUCUGGCCCCUCAGGGCUGAGGGAACUUGGGUGGGCAUCAGCGGGACCUCACCUGCUGCCACUCAGGAGACUAACGGCUCCGGUGCUGGCUCCCUGACAGCAUGGCCUCUGCCCCUGAGCUUACAGAACAUGCUCCCACGCAGAACCCCACUGAGCCUCACACAGCCUGGGACACACGCGGUGUCGUCAUCACACACAGAGACUGUGUCUCCUGCUCAGCAACCCCCAGCUUCAGGGAGCACUUGCUGGACGCACCAGCCUGUGAAAGGCCGCCCCCUGGCGGUCCGCCACUGACACCAGCACCUCAGAGUCCAUAAACUACAAGGUCAAGGUGAACCGGCCACACAGAACAGGUGACAGUGGGACUGAAAGUGUCUAAGGAAUAAGAACAUACCCCCAAGAAGUCUUCGAGAAAGGCCAGUGGUGUGAAUCUGCCUCUUCUUCUCGGUCUGCAUUUCCCUACCUCAUCUCGUGGAAAGAGGGGCAAUUGAAAAUGCCAAGUGGUGUUGGCAUCCACUGUUCCCUUGUCACUGGUCCUUGAAGACUUGGUGUGUCUGGGGUGUGAGUAAGCACGUGUGCAUUUGGAGGACUGUCACUGCUUCUCUCACAUCACUCAAAUCCCUGUAUGGUUAAUUAAAAGCCAUGGCAUCAUCUCUCCUGUGACAUGGGAUGAUCCCUGCUCUACUGUCCGUCAUCCUAAUUAGCAAGGAGAGAAGGGAUUUGUCUGCUUUCAAUGUGUAUGUUUUAAAGCUGGCGAAACUCACAGGAGAUGGGCCUGAGCGAAUCCAGCAUGAAAUUCUAUUCAGAAAAUCGUUUGUGAAUUUUGAAACAUGAUCUUGGCCUUGUUCA